Molecule: ribosomal RNA, 157 nt
Filed under: Garcinia scortechinii
Lineage: Eukaryota; Viridiplantae; Streptophyta; Magnoliopsida; Malpighiales; Clusiaceae
Description: 5.8S ribosomal RNA
Rfam family: 5.8S ribosomal RNA
About the family: 5.8S ribosomal RNA (5.8S rRNA) is a component of the large subunit of the eukaryotic ribosome. It is transcribed by RNA polymerase I as part of the 45S precursor that also contains 18S and 28S rRNA.
Source: RNAcentral
CAAAACGACUCUCGGCAACGGAUAUCUCGGCUCUUGCAUCGAUGAAGAGCGUAGCGAAAUGCGAUACGUGGUGUGAAUUGCAGAAUCCCGUGAACCAUCGAGUUUUUGAACGCAAGUUGCGCCCGAAGCCUUUUGGUUGAGGGCACGUCUGCCUGGG